RNAcentral lists this ribosomal RNA (585 nucleotides) under uncultured bacterium. Its description in RNAcentral is "bacterial SSU rRNA". It matches the Rfam family "Bacterial small subunit ribosomal RNA", at positions 667 to 1329 of the family's 1533-position model. The record is from RNAcentral.
UUCUCGGUGUAGCAGUGAAAUGCGUAGAUAUCGAGAGGAACACUCGUGGCGAAGGCGGGUUCCUGGACAUUAACUGACGCUGAGGCACGAAGGCCAGGGGAGCGAAAGGGAUUAGAUACCCCUGUAGUCCUGGCAGUAAACGGUGCACGCUUGGUGUGCGGGCGUGCCGGAGUAACGCGUUAAGCGUGCCGCCUGGGGAGUACGGUCGCAAGAUUAAAACUCAAAGAAAUUGACGGGGACCCGCACAAGCGGUGGAGUAUGUGGCUUAAUUCGAUGCAACGCGAAGAACCUUACCUGGGCUUGACAUGCAGGUGCUGCAUGGCCGUCGUCAGCUCGUGUCGUGAGAUGUUUGGUUAAGUCCAGCAACGAGCGCAACCCCUAUUGCCAGUUACGACUCUGGCGAGACUGCCCAGAUCAACUGGGAGGAAGGUGGGGACGACGUCAGGUCAGUAUGGCCCUUAUGCCCAGGGCUGCACACGUACUACAAUGCCCAGUACAGAGGGGGCCGAAGCCGCGAGGCGGAGGAAAUCCUAAAAACUGGGCCCAGUUCGGACUGUAGGCUGCAACCCGCCUACACGAAGCCGG